GUCGAACUGGAGGUUGGGUGGGACAGGGAGAAUGACAGUUCUGAACAGCCCAGCAGCACUCAGAAGCCAGUAGCGCCCAGCAGCCGGGUACAGCUCCUUAAAUGCCUCAUGGGUCGCCUUCUUAAAGACCUUGACAGCAAGCAAGUCCAGGAAAGAGGACACCCAGGGUGCACCAGGCGCCAUGCCAGGCACUGUACACAGGAGGCCCAGGAACCUCAGGAGACUCUCAUCAGCCUGUCCAUCGCUGCUGUCGGGCCACAGAGGUUUCGUUGAUGCUCCAGAUGCUUAAUUCACCCGGUGAGCCAGCUGCCGCUAGGCUGUCACCCUCCUGCAGAAACACGCCGAACAGCCACCCCAUUGUGGCAGCAUCUCGGCCAUCUGACCACGCACACAUCUGCCCACCCGCUCUGCCGCUGACAAUGGGGUACGACAGAUCCACGCCGGAGGGAGUGUCAGCCCGACUGUCUGGGAGGGGGGCUGGCGUUGGCUAUGGGGGCUCCUCCUCUCCUCCCGAGGGCCCCCCAGAGCUGGAGCGCGGACGUCCAUCUGUGCUGGCAUCACUCAUUUCUGACGCAGCCUGGCAGGUGCUCUGGCUGAGGGGAGGUGGGAUAAAGGCCUGGAGGUAACAUUGCCUCAUUUUUGUGGCAGGAGAUUGACAAGAGGUCUGAGGGCAACUGGAGGGCCUCUGGUUCGCCGCCUUCAGGAAAGGAUCAAGCUGGUGGAAACAAAUUCAAUCAUUCUGAUUUAAGAAAAGGCGUUUUGAGGGCUUUCCUUUCCAUUUUAUAUCACUCCUGGAGUCUUAAAUCCUAAAUUCUUUUUAUUCAAAACGGAUUUAUUUCUGAAGUAUUGGCCUAAUGUCAUUUUAGAAACUUUACUCAGAAUUGAGUUUAAGGAGCUUAUCAGGUACCUUCUGCCCACAACUUGGGACUGCAAAAGACACAGUGCACCACCUGUAUUUUGUUUUUAGAAGGAUGGGUUUAAUGUUCUGACUUUGUCCGACUGUGAUGCCCACUACAAUUAUGGAUAAUUAUUAUGUCUUGCUGAGAAAUUACAGUGGGAUAUGGGCCAUGCAGAAGACAGACUGAUGCACACAGUGCCCCCAGUAGAUUCAGAAACUAAAUAGCCGUAUUUAGAUUUCGGUAAUGGCGUGGAACAGGAAAAAUUCUCUCCUGCUGGGGGGUGGGGUCACUAAAAUUACUUCUAAGGAAAAAAUCCCUCUCCCAACAGUGCAAGCGGAGUAAUCAGCAAUCUAAAAGAGGUAAGAACCAGGGAAAUAAAUAAAGGAAUUAAAAAUCAGGACAUUUUAAGACUGAAAAUGAGGCUUUGUUUGUAACAUGUUCACGAAAAGAAUGUCAGUCUUUCAAAAAAGGCUGCAAUACCAGAGCCACAGGCCUCUGAUUCCCAUUCCCUAAGGCGGCAGAUAUUGAUCAGCUGCCCGCCACGUACCAGAUUCAAAGUAUGUCAGUUUUUAAAAAAUAAUAGACAUCCCUUAAUGUCAAAUCCUAUUGCUAUAUGUGCUAAAAUCACUGAUUGAUGACACUUUUUUAAAAAUUAGAAACAUUAGAUUUGUAAAGGUUAAUAUGCUUUUUUACUCAGUCAUUCAGAUCCUGGAACAGACUCUCAUAAGGACAAACAGUUUUUAAAAUAUGGUGGAGGAAUUUAUCACAUAGAAUUAAUCAUGGCAUUCGGCCUCCUGGUGCAUUUCCUAUUUGGGCCACAUACUCUUGCAAACCAGGGUUAAAUAAGAGAAGGGCCCUGUGCAGGCAGAUGGGGGUGCAAGGGCCUGGCCGAGAGUCUAGAGGGACGAGGUGGGCGAGGGAGUCGGUGAGCCUGGAAGCAAAGCAAAACAGGGCACAGGGGAGGAGAGCAGGGUAGAGAUGGAAACCGGGGUGAGCCAGCUCAUGUGAGCGAGGCUCAUCUUAGGCGAGGUUUACAUGUGGCUUCCAGAGCCUCUGCAGACAGUAACCGACCUCCCUCCAAACCCCAUGGUGAAGUUGGACUCACAGUUCUGUGACUUCCUAGCUCUGUAAACUUGAGCAUGUUACUUGGUUUCUUGUGCCUCAGUUUCUCAUAGGUAAAAUGGAGUCCUUUCUUAUAGUGAGGACUCAGUGAGUUCAUCCAUUUAACAUGCUUGGCACAGUGCUCAGUAAAUGUUAGCUGUUAUUAUUUAGAAGAGUGAAGUGGAUAUUUUUCAUUUUUUUUACUACCCAACAUUGAAAUCUCUUCCUCUUGUGUGGGUCCUGGUGGGAGGCAGGGCUUACCCCACACAAAGGAGGGUGAAGGUGGGCCUGGGGGCAGCCAAAUACACACCCCCUCUUGGGAUUUUAAUCCUGAGGGAGUGAGACAAAGGUGCCCAACGACCCUUAGGGGUGAUCUGCAGAGCUGGUGGCCAUGAGGAAGGGGUGGCAGGCCUGUGUGGCCGGGCAGCCGGACUGUCCCUGUGGUAACUUGGCAUAACCCCCAUUGCUAACCUUCCUGGCCCCUGCCCUCUGCUCUUGCAAUAAAUUCCUUUUCUGGUGAGUUAGCCAGGGGUUGUCCACUGGUUUGCAACUGUCAACUUCAGGAUCAAAUUCACCUGCUAUUUACCCUCAAAAUGAGUUUAUUCAGGAAUAGCCAAAACAAGUGCAAUCCAGGAAGCACAUGCUACGGUGAACCAGAGGCAAAUCCAGAAAAUAAAGGAGGGGAGCUGCUUUUUCUAGAGAAAAGUGGGGAGUAAGGAGAGGUUGUUCUAAAGGAAAGUCCAUUGGAGGGAAGUUACAGUUCAGGGUGACAACAGCUUCUCAUUGGCUGAGCUGUGGCAUCUCUCAUUGGCUGAGCUGCGGCAUCUCUCAUUGGCUGAGCUGCGGCAUCUCUCAUUGGCUGAGCUGUGGCAUUUCUCAUUGACUGAGCUGUGGCGUCUCUCAUUGGCUGAGCUGCGGCAUCUCUCAUUGGCUGAGCUGCGGCGUUUCUCAUUGGCUGAGCUGUGGUGUUUCUCAUUGGCUGGGCUGUUGCCGGGUGGGGAGAGAAAUCUUCCUUCAGUAGUGAAGUAGUUGUACUUGUCAGAGAUGCAAGUAUGAGUCUCUUCCCGUUUGGUGUAACUGAUGGUGUGUGAUAGGGUGCGAGAGCUCCCCCUAGAGGCCGCCACCUCUCCACUUUGGUUGAGGUUUCUUAUUAAUUUCCACACCGCCAAGAACUCUUAGAGGAGCCAAGCUCAACAGUGUCGUCAAAUAUCACUGCCCCCUGGAGACCAGGGUUAGGCUGAUGGUGGAAGGGCCAGAGGCAUGAUGACAGAGCCCUUGGGAGGGCAGGACAGGCAGAAGCCACACCCAUACCUCUGAACCUGGAGAUGGUAGGGGGCUGGGAGGCCAGCAGGUAGGGGAGGCAGCAAACGCUUACCCAGGACCCACACUGCGGGUUUUUGGUCUCUAAUCCUUUAUCACUGUUUCUCUGCCAACUCCUUCCUUGCUGGGAGCAUGGAUUCUUCUGCAAGUGGGGCAAGGGUGUGUUUAUCAGCUUGUUGCAAAUUACAUGGUAAACACCAUCCCCCUGGCUGAGGCGGUUACUGAGUCUCUUUGUUAGAUUAAUAAGAUUACAACAAUCUGGGCAGACUUUCAAGUGUUUAUUUUCAAAACCUUACUUCAGAGGGUGGUGGUAACACAGUACCAGGCCUGACUGGAUCCCGGGUGUUUGGCUAGAGGGCGUUUCUGUUCUGAGUGCUUAUUUCUCCACAUAUGGAGGAAAAAUGGUCAUUAAUCCUCAACCUCUGACAAUUUAUAGUCCGUAUCCUACAGUCCGUUUUGUGAUCAAAAACUUGAGGUUUAACACCUACAUUUUGUCAGCCUUGUGGCCCAGCUCUCAAAGGGGUCUGAAAAGGGGUUACAGAGAAUCCUUUCCCGCAGCUUUUAAGCUUUCUGGUAGACGGCCUGUCCUUCAGUUUGUAACUAUGGGCAUUUCGGCAAAAUUUACUCCAAGUGAAAUGCUGUAACGCAACCCCGUUUUCCUGUUGACUGGUGUUAUUACAUUAUGGAUGUUACAGCUCCUCGGCAAGCACUCACCAGGCUUUGGGGCACAUGGGGGCGCAGGCUGGGGCGGCUCUCCCUGCUGCACUUUAGGACUUUAAUCACGCUCUGCCCUGGGACUCUGCGUAGCUCUGGGCCCUGCCGGCCGCGAGGACUGGGGGGAUCGAGAUGGCAGAAACCGUCUCUGCCUGCGAGGUGCUCUCAGCCCACUGGGGCCAUGGAAGCCUUGCACCUCCCAAGCACACAGGCUCUCAGAGCCUUCACCGUGUCCAGUCUGCCUUCCCCACCUCUCCUCCCGCCGCAGUCUCCCCAGGUCCACCUGCCCACCCCUCUUUCCUUCCCUCUAACGCACAGCCCCAGACCGUGGCUGUGGACACUGCACUUCCCAGACACUCUGAGCAGUCUCACGACUCGGCACAGGUUGACCCAGUUCCCUCGCCCUGCCACGCCCUUCCCCGCCUCCUCACACCCUUCCAGACAGGGCUGCUCUUCUGGAGCUCAACCCUAAGCUCUGGGCUCUCCCAUAUUCCACGCACCCAACUUGGUCCCGGGAUUCCCCACCUGGCUUUAGACUUGGCUGCCUCUCUGUCUGACUCUCCCAUGAGGCGCUGCACUCUUUGAGGCAUUUCAAACUCAUCUUUAUGACCUCCAUGCUGAGCCUGGGAUGUACCACAUACUGGGAAUUUAGUAAAUGUUAAGUGAGUACAUGGGUGAAUGAAUGAAAAAAAUGAGUACAUACCUUAACAGAGAUACAAAUAAUAAUUAGCUUUAUGUAAAGGCUUGUCAAUUUACAGAAGUUUCAUACACAUCAGUUUACAUGAUCCUCAUGGCGAGUUAGAAUAGUUACCAAUGCCUGAAUUUCAGAGAGGUUAAACUAUUGUAACAAUAACGAUAGCUCUAAUGCCUGAGGACUGACUGUGUGUCAGGCACUUAAUAAACAUGCUCUGUUAAUCCUAGAACAACUGUGCAAGGUAGGCAGCCAUCUUUUACAGUUGGGGAAACUGAGUCUCAGAAACAUGUCUAAAGCCAGAGCCAAGAGUGGGACCACAUCUUGGGACUCCCAAGCCUUUGUUUAGUCCCUGACACGAUGUUGGCGGACAGGAGGCUGGAGCCAGGUCCAGACAGCCAAAGGAGGCCUGAGCUAAGUCUGGAAGGAGUGAAGCGAAGAUCAGAGGGGAUGGACAGCCUGGUCAGGGGGACUGACAUGGGCAAGGGAGGGUAGGUGUGAGCAGGCAGGCCAGGCUUGGGGCCUGGGACCUGAGGGACAGUGUGAGGGGUGGGCAAUGGGGCAGGAAACAAUCAACGCUAGUGGCCAGGAGGGACCGAGGCAUAACAGGCCUCGAGUGCCCCGGGGUGUCCAUGCGGAUGGGGGAUGAACACCGCAGGGGCCUUUGGAGUAUUCUUCUGCGUUAGUGGGGAAGAAGCUGGAGGUGGCAAGACCAGCCAAGGCGAUGGUGACAAUUUGGACUAGCCGCAAGGCAGCCUAACAGGGUAGUGGAGUAGAAAAAAAAAGGGGAAAUAGAUACAUGGGAAGUGGAGAACAUUUCCCAUACCUCUCCCCUGCUCUGUUCUUAGGCCAAAGAAAUUUCUCCAAAGAAAAACUUCCCCAUCCUUUGCUGGUUCAGGCCUCUGUGCCUUUGCACUUACUGUUCCUUCUCCCUCAAGUGCUCUUUUCCCCACACAGCCCCACCCACCUGGAGAACACCUAUUCAUCCUUUAAAACCUUGCUCAGAUGUGACUUCUCCACAAAGUCUUUCCUCACUACCAGUGUGAUAGAGUUGACCAUCCCACCUCCGUGCCUUGUCUCUGCUUCUGCUAGGGUGCCAAUGCCACUGAGGUUAGUUUACUGAUCUGCAUCUCCUGGUAGACGGUGAACGCCUCAAUGGUUGGGACUGUUUCCAUCUUUGUGUUCCUGCACCUAGGCCAAUGCCUGAUACAGACUAAGCACGAUGUUUGAAUGAAUGAAUGAACGCAUGCACACAUGAGUAAACGAAUGCAUAAAGACAUUAUUCUCCUCCCUCUUUUCCAGCCAUUCCUGAUGUCCAAUAGAAGUGAGCUACACUCGUUAUUCUCUCUCAGAUGAGGUUUGAAAAAUGUUUUGUUUUCAAAAUGCCUUUGUUUUGAAAAAUGCCUUCAAUUUAAGCUUUGUUUUUGUAAAAUUAGUGAGUAUCUCAUUUGGCAAGUUUGAAACACCCAAAACAAGCAAAAAAUGCUGGUGGAAGGGAAAGGAAAAAAGAGGAGAGAGGGGAAGGCUGGUGGGGCCAUGGGCCUUCAGUUGCUGUUUUCCCUGAGCUCGAUCAGGAAAAACAAAACACCCAGGCCUGGGGCCGCUCUCACAAGCGGCCUCAGACGAGUGUUUACUUCACCUCCUUCCAUUAGCUCUUAAGAGGAGCCAAUAGAAAAGACCUUGAAAAUGGUAAGGAACACCAUGAAAGAGACAUAUUAUUCUGCCUGGAUGGUAAAAUAUGGCCUUGUGAACUACGUGCUAGCUUCCCAUGCUCACUCAAAGAUGAUUUUAAUAUUAAACGUAUUCCUUUCAUUGACUAAGACAUACACUAACUAGGGAGAAAAUGUUUUCCAAAAUUUAAACUUAAAUCUGUUAAUAAGCACAAAUCUUCAUAAAAAAGUCAGAAGUACAUGGAGACUAGCAGCCUAACCUUAGACGGGAAGCCAUCUGUGACUUUAGAACAAGGGUUUUUACUCACUGGAGGGGGCACACUUUUGUGAAAUGCUAAACCAAAUACCACGGAACAUUAUUAUGGCUUCAAAAACUAGUUACAGGCUUCAAUAAGCACACUUUUAUCACAAGAACACACAAUCUAAAGCCAAAAUAGUUCAGUUUAAUACGCCAAAAAUAUGCUCACCCCAUACAUUGUUAGAAAGAGCAGUAGGAAAAAAAAUCUAAAAUUUGCUGCUAAUUCAUUUGACGGCAGCCAACGUCUCCUAUCUUUCUUGGCAAGAGGGCCAUUUUUCUAUGCUGUAUUUUGCACACAGAAAUCUGCAUAGAGUGAUUUGCAUACCAAAAACACGUUUGUAAAAGAAACUACUUGCACAGAAGCCAGGGAGAGAUGGGGUUGCCACUGUUGGCUUCUAUACACACAACGCCCCCAGGCUACUUGCUUUCCUUUUUCAAACAUACUGCAUUUCCCGCAAAGGGUUAUGCACUUUAUGAUGCAUUAAAAAUUAAAGCAAAUAUAUCUUUUAUAUAUCCAAGAGCAACCAUAACAACGAUAACAACACAGGCUAAAUAUUUCCAUGCUAACAGUCUUCAACUUUUUGCUAAGGGGCUGGGAAUAAUAAGUGCUAUAAUAUAUUGAGCUUUUAUUUUAUACCAUGUCUUUUACAUAAAUUAUUGCUAAUUCUCGCCAUCAGUCUUCAAGGCCAGUGCUGUGGCUCCCCGUUUUACAUGAGGAAACUAGGCUUGGGGAGGUGAGGUGGCUCCCCAAAGCCGCGCAGGCCAGCAGCAGCAGCGAAGCCAGGUUUGGAAGUCUGGUCUGACUGCUCUGCCCCUUCCUGCCACCCUGUUCCCCACUGCCUCUCUCUUUCCCCGGUUUUGCCAAAUACCUUUGUUUCAUUUCCAAGGCUGGGUCUACCAGGCUGAGGGGUGGGGGAGUCAUGCUGGCAGAGGUAAUCACUUGGGUUUCCUGGCCUUUUUCUCUGACGAGCCUGGAAGCAGGGCAGCUAGUCUCAAGGCUCAGGGAAGGAGCCCAGGAAAGCAGUGCAGUGACAGACAGGGUGGAUGGGCAGUGGCCUGGGGUGCGGAGGGCACCGGGGGCGGGGAGACAGAUGGGUGGCUGCACAAAGAAGGUACGCGGUAGUUGAGAUGCAAUGGAACCCUCCCACUCGGUGCCCAUGCGCUGUCACCAGUUCAGUGCCAGCCCAGCUGUAUUCUUGGAAACACAGAACGGUUUUGUGUGUACUUAAUUAUAAUGCUACUUACAGACAAUUUGUCAGCAGCAAAUCAGAGGCUUGAUGCACUUCUUAAGAAAAAAAAAUUGGUAGUGGUUCUUUGAAAUGUGUCCAUCUGAUGAAUCCUUUGGAUUCUUCCAGUAUACAGCAUUUGAGAGAAAUCGGCCAUUUCUGGAAUGUCAAUCGGGGGGAAAGUACAAAAUGAAAAGACUGAGGAUGUCUGCAAAAAAAAAGAUUAUCAACAUUUGCUUUCCUUAAGAUGUUUCUUUGUGUAUUUUUUCUCACCUAGUUUCUCUUUUCCAGGGCACGAUAGCAAAAUUUACACCUAAUCCUCUCUCGUUACCCGUGGAUCGCCAGUGCCCGGAGAUUCCUGGCUUUGAGACUUCGUUAUGUAUUAGUCACUGUUAGAAAGCAGUUUUUCUGACACUUUCAGUAAUAAAUCCCUUUGAUAUGAUCUAUGGUAGCUCUGCCUCAUAGCAAGUUCCAGGCUAAAGCAAGUAAUGGAAUAGCAAACUGCUCUGGAGGCAGGCAGACCUGGUUUGAAUCCUGGUUCUGUCACUAUGGUUUUACCUUACUUAAUCUUUCUGACACUCAGUUUCUUCAUCUGUAAAACGGGGAAAAGCAUAUGAGGGCAGAACCUGGUUGCCCAUCCAACAGCCAUUUCCCUCUUCAUCCUUGCUAACAACAGUGACGACAACGAAAAAUCCUGAUUUUGUUCCAGUCCCGAAGUGCGAAAUCCCAGCAGAUGCGCUGCGUUGAUCUAAACCCUGCAUUCCUGUUGUCAGUGACUGGUUUACAGGGUCUACAGGAAAGCGUGUGACCUAAUUCUGGCCAAGGAUGCUGAAGAGGAAACCUGCCAGAAGCUUCCGAGAAAGAUUUUCCUCUCUGAUAAGAGAGACCCUUGAAGAGAAGGCCCAUCUGCCUUCAUCCACUGGCUCCCUGACCCACGCUGUUUGGUGCUGUGGCAGCCGUCUCUUGAACACGAGGGGAACGAUCACUGACACACUAAAGAUGGCAGAGCAGAAGGACCGAAAGAGCCUAGGGCCUUGGGGACAACACUGAUCUAUUGAGCCGACCUUGGUCCACCUAUCUCCAGAUUUCUUGUUAACAACGUCUUUAUGGUUUAACCUAUUGCGUAUUGAGUUUUGUGUUGCUUGCAGUCAAAAACAAUCCUAACUGACACAAAUACCAACCCCACAAGAUGGUUGUAAAUAAAUGAUACAUUGUAUGUAAAGUACUUAACACAAUACCUGGCACAGUAAGUGGUUGCUAUAUAUAUAUAUUAACAACAUUUAUGAGACAUGGGUAAUGAUCUAAAAGAGCAAAAGUUUCAAAACACAACACAGAUAAAUAAGAUGAACGGUACCGAUUUAGCAUGACAAAAAAGCUUUAUAUUCUCGGUAAGGGUGAGAGGAGACACUGAGGUACAAGACUAUGAUUACAGCCUCAAAUCCUCAUAUCUGGGAGUAAGAUGUAACUAUAGGCAGAAUGUGAACGCUAUUGGAGAUGAAAGGACUGUGGUUCUUGGCCAGGUUUCCAUCCAGCCUCUUACAACAGACAAUCACCCUGUCAGCAGCUCCGAUUCAUGUCUGAAGACCAACAAUUACAUGUGAAUUACCAGCCUUGCAAAGGGGCAGAAUUCUUUCAACUCACAGAAUCUCUUUCCAGAAUACCAAAUUUUACUAGUUGUUUUUUUUUAAGAUUGGCACCUGGGCUAACAACUGUUGCCAAUCUUUUUUUUUUUUUUCUGCUUUAUCUCUCCAAAGCCCCCCUGUACACAGUUGUAUGUCUUAGUUGCAGGUCCUUCUAGUUGUGGGAUGUGGGACGCCGCCUCAACGUGGCCUGACGAGUGGUGCCAUGUCCACGCCCAGGAUCCGAACCCUGGGCCGCCACAGCCAAGCGUGCGAACUUAACCACUGGGCCACGGAGCCGGCCCCAUACUAGUAUUUUCUUAAAAAUAUGUUAUUUCUUUAUAGCAGGAAAGAUAGAUAUACUGACAUAUAUUUAAAAUAUAAUACUCAUUGAGGAAUAUGUUGUCCUAGAUAUCACCUACCAUCUCGGAGCACUGUAGCAACUCAGAGGACUAUGUAUACUUUACACAUGAGACACCAGUUUUUGAAACAACCUACUAGAACACAAAGAAAGAAUACAGUAAAAUAACAUGGGAAAAUACCUAGCUAAUAGAGGUCAUGUCAUGUAAUCAAUACUCAAAGUAAACCAGAUUUUUUUCUUCACUCUGUUUUAGCAAAGAGGCAAAUGACAAGAUUUCAAACCAACACUGAGGAUUAGACACACACACUCAUAUCCACUGCUGUCUAGGGUCAGCGCACAUCCACCCCGAAGCCCAGUGCUCUCUCCAGCGACAGUGCCGUGCGACGAGUGUUGAUUGUCAUAACUGGUGGCUCAUGAGGCUUCACAAAUCCCAGAAUUAUUAAUCGUAUUCAGCAUACAAUAAAAGAGAAGUAAUCAGACAUAUGGACAAAAAUCUGUCAAGGAUUGAAAACAAAAGGUGAUUUCUGGUUACCUUGCAGUUCAUUAAAUAAAAUCACCAAUUCCUGAACAUUUUGGUUAACUGAGAUUUUCUUGUACACUGUACACACACCUGCUUUUCUCAAAAUAUAUCUGCUCCUUUUUCUUUCUUACAAUAAAG
Long non-coding RNA from Equus caballus (horse), 10557 nucleotides. Lineage: Eukaryota; Metazoa; Chordata; Mammalia; Perissodactyla; Equidae. The record is from Ensembl.